CGCUGGCGGCAGGCCUAACACAUGCAAGCCGAGCGGUAACAUUUCAAAAGCUUGCUUUUGAAGAUGACGAGCGGCGGACGGGUGAGUAAUGCCUGGGAAUUUGCCCAUUUGUGGGGGAUAACAGUUGGAAACGACUGCUAAUACCGCAUACGCCCUACGGGGGAAAGCAGGGGACCUUCGGGCCUUGCGCUGAUGGAUAAGCCCAGGUGGGAUUAGCUAGUAGGUGAGGUAAAAGCUCACCUAGGCGACGAUCCCUAGCUGGUCUGAGAGGAUGAUCAGCCACACCGUGACUGAGACACGGCCCAGACUCCUACGGGAGGCAGCAGUGGGGAAUAUUGCACAAUGGGGGAAACCCUGAUGCAGCCAUGCCGCGUGUGUGAAGAAGGCCUUCGGGUUGUAAAGCACUUUCAGCGAGGAGGAAAGGGUGUAAGUUAAUACCUUACAUCUGUGACGUUACUCGCAGAAGAAGCACCGGCUAACUCCGUGCCAGCAGCCGCGGUAAUACGGAGGGUGCGAGCGUUAAUCGGAAUUACUGGGCGUAAAGCGUGCGCAGGCGGUUUGUUAAGCGAGAUGUGAAAGCCCCGGGCUCAACCUGGGAACCGCAUUUCGAACUGGCAAACUAGAGUCUUGUAGAGGGGGGUAGAAUUCCAGGUGUAGCGGUGAAAUGCGUAGAGAUCUGGAGGAAUACCGGUGGCGAAGGCGGCCCCCUGGACAAAGACUGACGCUCAGGCACGAAAGCGUGGGGAGCAAACAGGAUUAGAUACCCUGGUAGUCCACGCCGUAAACGAUGUCUACUCGGA
RNAcentral lists this ribosomal RNA (800 nucleotides) under uncultured bacterium. RNAcentral's name for it is "bacterial SSU rRNA". It matches the Rfam family "Bacterial small subunit ribosomal RNA", at positions 34 to 821 of the family's 1533-position model. The record is from RNAcentral.